AGGAUUAACGCUGGCGGCGUGCCUAACACAUGCAAGUCGAACGAGGUAGCAAUACCUAGUGGCAGACGGGUGAGUAACGCGUGGUCAACCUACCGUUGAGUGGGGGAUAACUAGCCGAAAGGUUAGCUAAUACCGCAUACGUCUCCGAGGGGCAUCCCUUGGCGAUAAAAGGAGCAAUCCGCUCGAUGACGGGACCGCGUCCCAUUAGCUAGAUGGUGGGUAACGGCCUACCAUGGCACCGAUGGGUAGCUGGUCUGAGAGGACGACCAGCCACACUGGGACUGAGACACGGCCCAGACUCCUACGGGAGGCAGCAGUGAGGAAUUUUCCGCAAUGGGCGAAAGCCUGACGGAGCGACGCCGCGUGCACGAGGAAGGUCUUCGGAUCGUAAAGUGCUGUCGAGGGGGACGAUUAUGACGGUACCCUGGAGGAAGCCCGGCUAACUACGUGCCAGCAGCCGC
Molecule: ribosomal RNA, 461 nt
Filed under: uncultured bacterium
Lineage: Bacteria
Description: SSU rRNA
Rfam family: Bacterial small subunit ribosomal RNA
Source: RNAcentral